RNAcentral lists this non-coding RNA (21 nucleotides) under Caenorhabditis elegans. The record is from RNAcentral. Lineage: Eukaryota; Metazoa; Nematoda; Chromadorea; Rhabditida; Rhabditidae.
GCAAAUGGACAUGAUGUAUCU